This 212-nucleotide long non-coding RNA is filed under the name Calidris pugnax (ruff). RNAcentral's name for it is "lncRNA (ENSCPUG00000011760.1)". The record is from RNAcentral. Lineage: Eukaryota; Metazoa; Chordata; Aves; Charadriiformes; Scolopacidae.
GCUCAUCUGUUUGCUCUGGAGUUUAGAGGGGUUGAGGCAUCGGGGUGAAUGGGAAGGGAGAAGGUGGUCUCUGGAAGAGCUGAAAUAACCUUCUCAGAAAGCCAACCUCGAAAUGAUGAGGCACAACCAUAAAGUACCAGUACCCAAGCCACGUUUUCAAUUACAGGACAACAUCUGCUGAGGAAAAAGGACAUGGCUCAAAAAAAAAAAAA